UACAGAGGGGGCAAGCGUUGUUCGGAAUUACUGGGCGUAAAGGGCGCGUAGGCGGCUCAUGAAGGCUGUGGUGAAAGUCCGGGGCUCAACCUCGGAUCGGCCGUGGCGACUCGUGGGCUGGAGCACUGUAGAGGCGGGUGGAAUUCCGGGUGUAGCGGUGGAAUGCGUAGAGAUCCGGAAGAACACCAGUGGCGAAGGCGGCCCGCUGGGCCGUAACUGACGCUGAGGAGCGAAAGCGUGGGAGCGAACGAG
Molecule: ribosomal RNA, 252 nt
Filed under: uncultured bacterium
Lineage: Bacteria
Description: partial 16S ribosomal RNA
Rfam family: Bacterial small subunit ribosomal RNA
Source: RNAcentral